UGGGGAAUAUUGCACAAUGGGCGCAAGCCUGAUGCAGCCAUGCCGCGUGUAUGAAGAAGGCCUUCGGGUUGUAAAGUACUUUCAGCGGGGAGGAAGGGAGUAAAGUUAAUACCUUUGCUCAUUGACGUUACCCGCAGAAGAAGCACCUGCUAACUCCGUGCCAGCAGCCGCGGUAAUACGGAGGGUGCAAGCGUUAAUCGGAAUUACUGGGCGUAAAGCGCACGCAGGCGGUUGGUUGAGUCAGAUGUGAAAUCCCCGGGCUUAACCCGGGAAUUGCAUCUGAUACUGGUCAGCUAGAGUCUUGUAGAGGGGGGUAGAAUUCCAUGUGUAGCGGUGAAAUGCGUAGAGAUGUGGAGGAAUACCGGUGGCGAAGGCGGCCCCCUGGACAAAGACUGACGCUCAGGUGCGAAAGCGUGGGGAGCAAACAGG
Molecule: ribosomal RNA, 429 nt
Filed under: Chloroflexota bacterium
Lineage: Bacteria; Bacillati; Chloroflexota
Description: Chloroflexi bacterium partial 16S ribosomal RNA
Rfam family: Bacterial small subunit ribosomal RNA
Source: RNAcentral